GGAGAUUUUCAGUUUCAUUUUGCACAUCUUCAUGGACUGUGGAUCCGGGACAUGUUCAGAGGUCCCUUGGCUCUGUGCUCUCCAGAAGGUCCGACACUCCUAUUCCCUCCUGUGGGGCAGCAAGGCCUCUUCUCUUUGCGUUCCUCUCCCUGCACUGGGGAGAUUUGGUUGCAACUCCAGGGAUGCCUGGGAAAUCGUGGGAACAGGGAAGAAAUUCGUUUACUUUCUGAAGAGAAUGAGUAGAUUUCUCUUACUGUCUCAUCAAACAAGCCAGCCUGGGAUUUGCUGCCUAAGGGUGCUGUGGCGAGCAAAAAGGAAUGACUAA
Molecule: long non-coding RNA, 325 nt
Filed under: Bos indicus x Bos taurus (hybrid cattle)
Lineage: Eukaryota; Metazoa; Chordata; Mammalia; Artiodactyla; Bovidae
Description: lncRNA (ENSBIXG00000003944.1)
Source: RNAcentral